Molecule: long non-coding RNA, 902 nt
Organism: Photinus pyralis (common eastern firefly)
Lineage: Eukaryota; Metazoa; Arthropoda; Insecta; Coleoptera; Lampyridae
Exons: 3
Source: RefSeq, a predicted model, not a curated record
CUACAACUUAUUGCAAUUACAAAUUCCAGUGCGUUGAAACGCCAAGGUCUAGGUACGGGUUUAUACAAACAAAUGGGCCAUGGGCCCACGUUAUCUUGGACGCUGGAUCAACCAUCUUGGAUGCGGGUCCCACCAUCUUGGAUGCUGGCCCACUAUCUUGGAUGCUGGGCCCACCAUCUUGGAUGCUGGACCCGCCAUCUUGGAUGCUGGACUCGCUACCUUGGAUGCUGGAUCCGCCGUCUUGGAUGCUGGAACCGCCACUUUGGCGUCAUCUGUGAUUGCUGGAGAAACUCACGAUACCUAAAAUAGAAGUACCUAUAGGUUGAAGUCAAUUUGGUGGUUGCGGGAGAAUUUUUUUCUUGGUUUUGGGAUUAGAACCUACGAUAGCUGAACGGGGAGAAAUGGACUUUGACCGGGAACCUUUGGACUUUGAUGGCAAAGAAUGGACUUUGAACUGUUAAUGUACUUUUAACGGGUGACAACCUUUGGAUUUGAACGAUGUUUGUAGAUUUAGUAUCGUCUGACCUUGAAGUUGUAAGUGUGCGCAUGCGGAGGCGCCAUCUUGACGCGUACAACCGAUUGUAGACCGAUUGAGUUGUAUGGUGAAUGUGUUUGUCUUGUACAAUGACGUUUUCGCGUAUGAGGACGCAACUGUGAGUCCGGGACGGAUUAUCGAAGUGAGGGCUGUUUGUGGAGUAAAUUAAGAUGAGUAAAUGUUCUCUAUCUAGAGUAAAUUAAACUUAACGGCUUCAUGGUCCACUUUUUUUCGAUAACGUUGUAUAACAAUUAACAUGUUGUGUAAGUUAUCCCUUCUAUAAAUUGAAAAACUGUAGUUUUUGCACAUUCCAUAAUAUAACCGGAAGUAUGGCUCAUAUAUAAAAUAAAGUUCAAAGUACACCGUC